This 439-nucleotide ribosomal RNA is filed under the name uncultured bacterium. RNAcentral describes it as "partial 16S ribosomal RNA". It matches the Rfam family "Bacterial small subunit ribosomal RNA", at positions 339 to 795 of the family's 1533-position model. The record is from RNAcentral.
CUACGGGCGGCAGCAGUGAGGAAUAUCGCACAAUGGGGGGAACCCUGAUGCAGCAACGCCGCGUGGAGGAUGACGCAUUUCGGUGUGUAAACUCCUUUUAUAUGUCAAGAAAAUGACGGUAGCAUAUGAAUAAGCACCGGCUAACUCCGUGCCAGCAGCCGCGGUAAUACGGAGGGUGCAAGCGUUACGCGGAAUCACUGGGCGUAAAGGACGCGUAGGCGGGUUGGAAAGUCAGGUGUGAAAUCCUACAGCUUAACUGUAGAACUGCACUUGAAACUGCUAAUCUAGAGUAUGGGAGGGGGAGAUGGAAUUAGUGGUGUAGGGGUAAAAUCCGUAGAUAUCACUAGGAAUACCUAAAGCGAAGGCGAUCUCCUGGAACAUUACUGACGCUAAGGCGUGAAAGCGUGGGGAGCAAACAGGAUUAGAUACCCGCGUAGUC